GGAGGUUGGCUUAGAAGCAGCCAUUCCUUUAAAGAGUGCGUAAUAGCUCACUAGUUAAGCGGCCCGGCGUCGAUAAUACACGGGCAUUAAACACACUGCCGAAGCUGUGGACUCUAAUAGAGUGGUAAGGGAGCAUUCCAGGGGCGCAGAAGCCAGAUCGUGAGAUCUGGUGGAGCCCCUGGAAGCGAAACUGUAGGCAUGAGUAACGAUAAGACGGGCGAGAAACCCGUCCACCAAAAACCCAAGGGUUCCUGAUCAACGCUAAUCGGAUCAGGGUUAGUCGAGACCUAAGGUGUAGCCGAAAGGCGAAGCCGAUGGCAAACCGGUUAAAUAUUCCGGUACCGAUUGUAGCGCCAGGCUAAGGCGUGACGCAGAAGUGACACUCCCGCGUGCUGACGAAUGCACGUUAAAGGGCGUAGGCCGGGGGGCAGGCAAAUCCGCCUCCCGUUAAGGCUGAACCCCGACAGUACCCAGAGGCUACGGCCAACGGGAUAGUGGAGGUAAUCCAGCUGCCGAGAAAAGCGUCGUAGUUUGUUACAAUCGCUCGUACCCCAAACCGACACAGGUGGGUGAGGAGAGUAUCCUAAGGUGCUCGAGUAAUUCAUGGCUAAGGAACUAGGCAAAUUCGAUCCGUA
This 635-nucleotide ribosomal RNA is filed under the name uncultured Symbiodinium. RNAcentral describes it as "partial Bacterial large subunit ribosomal RNA". It matches the Rfam family "Bacterial large subunit ribosomal RNA", at positions 1096 to 1732 of the family's 2925-position model. Lineage: Eukaryota; Dinophyceae; Suessiales; Symbiodiniaceae. The record is from RNAcentral.